CCGACGGGCGCGGCGACAAAAACUGUGAAAGUAUUCUACCGGCAACGGCAUCAAACAAACUACCUUUCCCAGCAUGCAAAGCGCCGCUUCCUUUCUUUUCUCGGCCCCUUCCUCCUUUUCUUUAUUGGAACUUGCUCGAAGGCGAAAUUGGCCGCGUGUUUCUCUCAAGGCUCGUUCUUUCGCUUGAAGUGUGCUGGUCCGUACUUUAAGAAGAGUGAUUUAUGGUGCUGGUUGUCUCCAAGAACCUUGGCCCUUCUUGACUAGUAUGGUUUUAAUUUUGAACGAUAACAACUGGUCUAGGUUUCAGACGGCCGAGCCUUUCUCAUCCCUGCUUCCUCAGGCGGCAGGUGGGGCCUCUGGUGUUCAAAGACUCACCUAUACACAAAAACUCUCUAAAUGCUCUGAUGCUGUAGUCUAGGGGUGGGCAACUUGCGGCCCUCCAGACGUUGCUGGAGAGCAACUUUCUACACAUCACCGUAGGCCAUGAUGAAUAAGGCUCACGGAAAUUGUAGUCCCAACGACGUAUGCAGGACUGUACUUCAAACUGAACCCAGAAGCUAUCUUGAAGCCAGUGAAGGUGGCAUAGCUUGGACUGCUCUGCUUCAUGUGGCCUGUAACUCCCAUCAGCCCUAACAAGUGAAGUCUGAGAUUUUGUUCCCUUCCUUUCUGCUGGACAUUCUGGAAGAUCCAAGAGCCUGCACAUUCAUUAGUCUGGGUCACAACAGAAGUUGAAGGGAACACGGAAGCCUUAUCGAAUGCCAGUUAGAACCAGAAAUGAUAAUGAAUUAGCCAAGCCUGGACAAUUCUAUGCAACUGAAAUGCAAUUCUGGAUUCCACUCCAAAGAAAAACUGAUGUCCUCUGUGUGCAGCAAAAGAGGCAGCAGCAGAAGGAAAAGAAACCUGGUGGAGUCUGAAACAUCUAGAGAGUAACUGCCUAGUCACAGUCAACAUGACCACUGAAGCUCAUUUGUGAGCAGCAAUCCCACAAAAUCCUGAAAAACUUGAAGCACCUUAUAACAUGGGGAAGAAAGAAAUACUACAGGAACAUCCACUAGAAAGUGUGGACAUAUAAUGCAACCUGGACCAUGGUUGUCUAAUAACACACAGCAGGUUCCAUGAAGGCGCAGAGCCCAUAUGAGUGAUGCACAGAGACCACAAAGAAGAACUAAAGCAUUCUGCAGGAACCUGAACUUGAUUUGCUGGAUUCAAUGUGCCACUAGGCUCAACUGUGGCAUUGCGGAGUUUUGUUUAGAUUUUACACAGGAAGGAGCAUACUGAAAAAAAUAUUUUAUUCAAGCCAGAUGAAGACCUCUGGUACAGCAUUAGGAAGAGAUAUGGCAAUUACUUAAGUCAUCUGUAGCCUGGUAAGUAGAUUAGAUGGAAAACCUCUCAGAAAAUGAAAUAUGACCAUUAGAUACGGGAAUCAAAUUAUGGAACAAGUUGCAUUAUUGAAGUUCUCUAUUUGCUGUUUUUAUUACAAUAGAAGAAAUAUGAUGGCCCAGUUCUAAUAAAAUGUUUUGUCUUGUUUAGCUAUUCCAUAACAUAAAGUUUUUCCAACUCAAGCAGGCAAUUUCAUAAAAUUGUAGUGCGUAUCUUCUUUCCUUUCAGCUAUGUGAAACCUUCUUCAAGAUCUUCAGAGGCCCAGGGGCUCCUGAUCUCUAGAAGGAACAACUUCGGGGUAGUGUACCAUCCCUAGCACUUUCAGGGAGGAGGACAUAGAGCAGAUCACUCAUGAAUAGAGUUCAGCUACUGUGAUCAUGCCCAUUACAUGAUCCAUUACAGUACAUUAUCAUGACUUCUGGCCUUCUGGCUAACUUAUUCUCUUCUCUGACACCACUUCAAAGCAAUCUAUAAAGCAGUGUCCAGACUAUCAGUUUCCCCUUCCACUUACCUCCGAUUCCUCCAAAUCCUUUCACAAACUGAGAUCCUUCCUGUGACUUGUCUGUCACAAUUUCCAACGUGGCUCCA
Molecule: long non-coding RNA, 1968 nt
Organism: Varanus komodoensis (Komodo dragon)
Lineage: Eukaryota; Metazoa; Chordata; Lepidosauria; Squamata; Varanidae
Exons: 5
Source: RefSeq, a predicted model, not a curated record